GGCUUGGUACCUCAGAGGAUAGAGCAUUGCACUGGUAUCACAAUGUCCUGGGUUCGAAUCCCAUGUCAAGCCU
This is a non-coding RNA of Desmophyllum pertusum, 73 nucleotides long. Lineage: Eukaryota; Metazoa; Cnidaria; Anthozoa; Scleractinia; Caryophylliidae. The record is from the annotation of a GenBank genome assembly.